RNAcentral lists this ribosomal RNA (484 nucleotides) under uncultured bacterium. RNAcentral describes it as "partial 16S ribosomal RNA". It matches the Rfam family "Bacterial small subunit ribosomal RNA", at positions 30 to 507 of the family's 1533-position model. The record is from RNAcentral.
AUUGAACGCUGGCGGCAGGCCUAACACAUGCAAGUCGAGCGGAUGAAGGGAGCUUUCUCCUGGAUUCAGCGGCGGACGGGUGAGUAAUGCCUAGGAAUCUGCCUGGUAGUGGGGGAUAACGUCCGGAAACGAGCGCUAAUACCGCAUACGUCCUGAUUGGGAAAGUAGGGGAUCUUCGGACCUCACGCUAUCAGAUGAGCCUAGGUCGGAUUAGCUAGUUGGUGGGGUAAAGGCCUACCAAGGCGACGAUCCGUAACUGGUCUGAGAGGAUGAUCAGUCACACUGGAACUGAGACACGGUCCAGACUCCUACGGGAGGCAGCAGUGGGGAAUAUUGCACAAUGGGCGAAAGCCUGAUGCAGCCACGCCGCGUGUGUGAAGAAGGUCUUCGGAUUGUAAAGCACUUUAAGUUGGGAGGAAGGGCAGUAAGUUAAUCCCUUCAUGUUUUGACGUUACCAACAGAAUAAGCCCCGGCUAACUUCGUG